RNAcentral lists this ribosomal RNA (393 nucleotides) under uncultured bacterium. RNAcentral describes it as "partial 16S ribosomal RNA". It matches the Rfam family "Bacterial small subunit ribosomal RNA", at positions 523 to 918 of the family's 1533-position model. The record is from RNAcentral.
AUACGGAGGAUGCAAGCGUUAUCCGGAUUUAUUGGGUUUAAAGGGUGCGUAGGCGGUUUGCUAAGCGGGAGGUGAAAUGCCGGCGCUCAACGUCGGAAGUGCCUCCCGAACUGGUGGACUUGAAUGACUCUGCCGUGGGAGGAAUGUGUAGUGUAGCGGUGAAAUGCUUAGAGAUUACACAGAACACCGAUUGCGAAGGCAUCUCACGAAGGGUUGAUUGACGCUGAGGCACGAAAGCGUGGGGAUCAAACAGGAUUAGAUACCCUGGUAGUCCACGCAGUAAACGAUGAUGGCUAACCGCUGGAUCCAUCGGUUCAGUGGCCAAGCGAAAGCGAUAAGCCAUCCACCUGGGGAGUACGAUCGCAAGGUUGAAACUCAAAUGAAUUGGCGGGG